Molecule: non-coding RNA, 1424 nt
Organism: Callithrix jacchus (white-tufted-ear marmoset)
Lineage: Eukaryota; Metazoa; Chordata; Mammalia; Primates; Cebidae
Source: RefSeq, a predicted model, not a curated record
AUGUAAAAAAAAGCAACUCAAGCUGGAAGACAGGGCCCUGCAAAGAGACAUCUUGCAGAACAAUUUGCAGUUGGGGAGAGAAUAACUAACAUGGCAAAAAAGGAAUGGAAAGUAGGAUUACCCGUUGGCCAAGGAGGCUUUGUAUGUAUAUAUCUUGCUGAUAUGAAUUCUUCAGGGUCAGUUGGAACUGAUGCACCUUGUGUUGUAAAAGUGGAACCCAGUGACAAUGGACCUCUUUUUACUGAAUUAAAGUUCUACCAACAAGCUGCAAAACCAGAAAUGGAUUCAUACCCAUAAGCUGAAGUACCUGGGUGUUCCUAAGUAUUGGGGGUUUGGUCUACAUGACAAAAAUGGAAAAAGUUACAGGUUUAUGAUAAUGGAUCACUUUGAGAGUGAGCUUCAGAAAAUAUAUGAGGCAAAUGCCAAAAGCUUUUCUCAGAAAACUGUCCUGCAGCUAAGCUUAAGAAGUCUGGAUAUUCUGGAGUAUAUUCACAAGCAUGAGUAUGUGCAUGGAGGUAUCAAGGCCUCAAAUCUUCUUCUGAGCUACAAGAAUCCUGACCGGGUAUACUUGGUAGAUUAUGGCCUUGCUUAUCAGUACUGCCCAGAAGGAGUUAAUAAAGAAUACAAACAAGACCCCAAAAGAUGUCACGAUGGCACUAUUGAAUCCACAAGCAUUGAUGCACACAAUGGCGUGGCCCCAUCAAGACGUGGUGAUUUGGAAAUACUUGGUUAUUGCAUGAACCAGUGGCUUACUGGCCAUCUUCCGUGGGAGGAUAAUUUGAAAGAUCCUAAAUAUGUUACAGAAUCCAAAAUUAGAUAUAGAGAAAAUAUUGCGAGUUUGAUGGACAAAUGUUUUCCUGAGAAAAACAAGCCAGGUGAAAUUGCCAAAUACAUGGAAACAGUGAAAUUACUAGACUACACUGUAAAUACUCUUUAUCAAAAUAUAUGCAAUAUUCUUUUGCAAGGACUAAAAGCUAUAGGAAGUAAGGAUGAUAGCAAAUUGGACCUCAGUGUUGUGGAGAAUGGAAGUUUGAAAGCAAAAACGGUAACAAAGCGAAAGAAAGAAAUUGAAGAAAGCAAAGAAUGUGGUGUUGAAGAUAUGGAAUGCUCAAGUACACAGACAGAGGAGCCCACACAGACCCACCUGUUCAAGAACCAGAAAGAGAGCCCAGAAGAGCAGCUGCGCGCAGAGGGCACGAAGACUCUCCUCGCUCUCACACUGCAGGCAGCUAAGUCGCUGUGAGAGGCGGCAGUGUUACCCCCGACCCGCUCCAGCCACCCGUCUUGCCACCUCCACAACCCUAGAACCGCCAGCACACGCCAGUCCCGUUCGCUACUCCGCCGGAAGUCCCGCCUGCGCCGCGGACGCGCCCCAUUGGGUCAGAUCCUGGGGCAUCACCGCAGGUGCGCCUUCCCCUGUGUGA